GUGGGGAAUAUUGGACAAUGGGCGAAAGCCUGAUCCAGCCAUGCCGCGUGUGUGAAGAAGGUCUUCGGAUUGUAAAGCACUUUAAGUUGGGAGGAAGGGCAGUAAGUUAAUACCUUGCUGUUUUGACGUUACCGACAGAAUAAGCACCGGCUAACUUCGUGCCAGCAGCCGCGGUAAUACGAAGGGUGCAAGCGUUAAUCGGAAUUACUGGGCGUACAGCGCGCGUAGGUGGUUUUGUAAGUUGGAGGUGAAAUCCCCGGGCUCAACCUGGGAACUGCCUCCAAAACUACUGAGCUAGAGUACGGUAGAGGGUAGUGGAAUUUCCUGUGUAGCGGUGAAAUGCGUAGAUAUAGGAAGGAACACCAGUGGCGAAGGCGACUACCUGGACUGAUACUGACACUGAGGUGCGAAAGCGUGGGGAGCAAACAGGAUUAGAAACCCGAGUAGUCC
This 450-nucleotide ribosomal RNA is filed under the name uncultured bacterium. RNAcentral describes it as "partial 16S ribosomal RNA". It matches the Rfam family "Bacterial small subunit ribosomal RNA", at positions 354 to 796 of the family's 1533-position model. The record is from RNAcentral.